RNAcentral lists this long non-coding RNA (769 nucleotides) under Phoenix dactylifera (date palm). RNAcentral describes it as "long non-coding RNA (PDAC_LNC009802)". The record is from RNAcentral. Lineage: Eukaryota; Viridiplantae; Streptophyta; Magnoliopsida; Arecales; Arecaceae.
GGUUCACAAAAAAAUCCUUAAGGGUCCAUGAGGGGGAGUGGUCCACGGGUCCAUGGGAGUUUAAAAACAAGUCAGCGGUAACCAUUUAAAUGAGAUUAGUCAAAUAGGAAAUGGGUUAGCCCAUUUUGAAAUAAAGCAAGCCUAUUUGGUUCUAAACCAAAUUGACAGCCCAUUUGAAUGAUUUUUGACCCGAAAAAAUUCCACAUGAGUCCGACUCAUGAGAGAUACAAUUAGGUCCAGUUUCGGCUCGAUCCAAGUCCGACUUAGAUCAGAACAAAUACGAAAUUAAAUCCCAAUUAAAUCAUGAUCGAGCCCAAUUACACUAAUUUAGACCCAAUCAAAUCCAAUCUCAACAAUUGAGUCCUGAUCAAGUUCAAUUAUAUUAAUUAAAACUUGAUUGACCCGAAAUACAGACAUAAUUAGUUGUUCAUCCAUGAAAUUUAGCAUGUACCUCAUGUUCAGUGCUAGCUGAACAUAGACAGAACCAAAUUCCAAAUGACCCACAAUUUAAUUUUUAAUUAAAUUGGGUCAUGUUGCCCAGUAGAUACAACCCAAGAGGGGGGGUGAAUUGGGUCUUUUAAAAACUUUUAUAUUGCUUUUGAAACUUUUUGAUUAAUUAUGCUAAGUUGUACAGAUGCACAGUGAAAGUUAAACUUAGCAACAGUUUAAUGUAUAGAACGUGACUUGAUUGAAUAUGCUUGCAACUAAAGGAUGCGCGGAUAAGAGUUAAGCAAGCAAUUUAUCUAAGUAAGUAAGUGUGUUAGUUAGA